This 468-nucleotide ribosomal RNA is filed under the name uncultured bacterium. RNAcentral's name for it is "partial 16S ribosomal RNA". It matches the Rfam family "Bacterial small subunit ribosomal RNA", at positions 28 to 507 of the family's 1533-position model. The record is from RNAcentral.
GACGAACGCUGGCGGCGUGCUUAACACAUGCAAGUCGAACGGAAAGGCCCUGCUUUUGUGGGGUGCUCGAGUGGCGAACGGGUGAGUAACACGUGAGUAACCUGCCCUUGACUUUGGGAUAACUUCAGGAAACUGGGGCUAAUACCGGAUAGGAGCUCCUGCUGCAUGGUGGGGGUUGGAAAGUUUCGGCGGUUGGGGAUGGACUCGCGGCUUAUCAGCUUGUUGGUGGGGUAGUGGCUUACCAAGGCUUUGACGGGUAGCCGGCCUGAGAGGGUGACCGGCCACAUGGGGACUGAGAUACGGCACAGACUCCUACGGGAGGCAACAGUGGGGAAUAGUGCACAAUGGGCGGAAGCCUGAUGCAGCAGCGCCGCGUGCGGGAUGACGGCCUUCGGGUUGUAAACCUCUUUCGCCGGUGACGAAGCGUGAGUGACGGUAAUGGGUAAAGAAGCACCGGCUAACUACGUG